UGCACACCACACCCCAGCCGCUUCGAACUUCACACACACACACACACACACACCAGACGCCACUACCGUCCGCCGGAAAGGGGAAAGGGUAAAAGGAGAGGCGCCGCUGCCCGGUGGAGAGGGUGCCGGCGAUUGCCGUGGAGGGUGAGGACCGGGAGCAGGAGGGUGAGGUGGCUGAACCACUACUCCUCGGCGCAGAGCAUCCUGGUGGUCGGAGACGGGGAGUUCUCCUUCUCGCUGGCGCUCGCCACCGCCUUUGGCUCCGGCGAGAACAUCGUCGCCACGUCCCUCGACUCCUACGAGGCUCUGACUGAGAAGUAUGAUGAUGCAAAAUCAAAUGUAAGGAAGUUGAAGAAAAUGGGGGCCAAAGUUUUGCACGGUAUCAGUGCGAAAAGCAUGAAGCACCAUUCUUAUCUGGAGACAAGGCAGUUCCAACGGAUUAUCUUUAAUUUUCCUCAUGCUGGGUUCAUAGAAGAUGAGUCUGAGCCAUGUAUGAUAAAGUUGCAUAGGAAGCUGGUGAGGGGGUUCUUUCGUAAUGCGCGACGCCUGCUUCAUCCUGAUGGUGAAAUUCACGUCACGCACAAGACAGGAUAUCCUUAG
RNAcentral lists this ribosomal RNA (600 nucleotides) under Triticum aestivum (bread wheat). RNAcentral describes it as "partial small subunit ribosomal RNA". The record is from RNAcentral. Lineage: Eukaryota; Viridiplantae; Streptophyta; Magnoliopsida; Poales; Poaceae.